This 87-nucleotide non-coding RNA is filed under the name Luteibacter sp. Sphag1AF. The record is from RNAcentral. Lineage: Bacteria; Pseudomonadati; Pseudomonadota; Gammaproteobacteria; Lysobacterales; Rhodanobacteraceae.
CUCUAUGGUGGACGUGUCGGGCAGGCUCGCGCCUGGCCGGAUUAGCUUUGGUAACCGGUUUUCGACCCCGACACGUCCGCCACCCUG